Molecule: long non-coding RNA, 1799 nt
Organism: Manis pentadactyla (Chinese pangolin)
Lineage: Eukaryota; Metazoa; Chordata; Mammalia; Pholidota; Manidae
Exons: 3
Source: RefSeq, a predicted model, not a curated record
CGAAGCCAGGAGUUUGAGGCGCACACUGGGACCCUAGGUCAGGCCCCCAGCGAAGGAGGGGAAGCCACCCCAGCCUGAGCCAGGGCCGGGAGGAGAGGCCCCUGGGGGUGUGAGGAGCAGCGUGGGGGAGGUCCACGCCUGAUGUGGUGGUGCGGCUGGGAAAGAGGGCCUGGCUCGCUGCGGGAAACCUGCAGAGGGAGGGUGCAGGGGGGACGCACUGGGGGUGGGGGCUGGGCCCUGGAUCCCAGUGUGACUAAGAGGUGACCCCAGCCUGAGGACGAGGCCCCUGGGCCUGAACACACCUCCGUUCUCCUGUCAGCAAGAUGAGUCCGGGUGUCCCUGCACUCCCUCCCCACAGGGCACCCCACCUGUCCCUGUGCAGACAGCCCUGAGAGGGUGUCCGGAUGCCACCGUCACCCAGGGCAGGGCAGUGUCUCUGCAGAAUCUGCAUCGUGCAGAGGCAUCUAAGCAAUUUCUCAAGUCCCUGGCUGUGGCGGCUGCCCUGGGCAUGGCUGGCUGGCAUGUUACAUGGGGGUGCGUGGGGAGGCCUCCGAAAGGCGCCUCCACUGACAGGAAGAAGCCACCCGCAGAAAGAAGCCGAGGAGCUGUGUCCCAUUUCCGUGUGACUGCUGCUAUUUGUCCUCCUCACACAGCCAAGGAUAAGAAAGGUUGGCCGAGGCACUGCACAGGCCCCGCUUCUCCUCGGGUGCCCGGAAUGUGCCCUCCCGAGAACCUCGCAUGUAAGUGGGGGUCCAGGGUCUCAAUCUCCCAGCUGCCCCCUGACUGACGAGACCUCGGAGGCUGGAGAUGCGGCCACUGCACAGGCCUGGGACCCCCACUUGCUCGCCUCCCACGCAUCCAUAUGGAUGGUGUCUGGGGGUCAGAGGAAAGUUGGGGUUCCAAAGGGCAGGAGAGCCACCGCAAGUCCAGCCAGAGCCCCCAUGAACUUCCACCUGCUCAGAAAUGAACCACUCUGCCACUUUUCAAAAAGUUUCCCAUCUUGAUAGAAAAGUACCACCCUCCUCCUCUAAGGGGACCCCACGGGGGGCAGAGCUGGCACCAUGCCCUGGGCCCUGUCCAGCACCCUGCAGCUGAGAACACCCCAGUGCCCAGCCACGCUCUCUCAGGGAGACCACCAGCCGCUCCCCUGCAAGCCCCCCGUCUCUGACCACGUGUGCCCCCGCUGGGCACACCCAGCUCAGGCAGCCGCGCUACCCUGACCAGGGGCCACAAGAGCCGCCAAAGGGCAGAGUACCAAGCAGAGGCAGCCUGGCCACGUCCCGGCGCCAGGACCCGGCGCCCCCCAGCAUCUCCGCGGCGGAUGCUGCAAGUUCAAGUGCCAGCAUUUACAGUAUUCCAGAAGCUUCUGUGUGGACUCUCUGUUGACCUUCAGAUCCUCCCUGAGAGGCGGGUGUCCUGUCCCCCUGCUUUUCCGAGGAGAAUCGGGGCUCAGAGGCCCAUGGGAGAAGGACCCUCCCACUGCAUGGCAUGGAAAAUGGCUCGACCUUGACCUCGCUGGAGUGGGGAACCUAGGGGCAGCGCUGAAGGGCUUCCCUGCUCACAACCUGUUGCAAAUCCCAGAGGGGGAUCCCCAGGGGAUUGGCCUAGGGGAGCAGCUUCCAGUGAGGGGGCUCUGGAAUUCAGGUAAGUGGAGGCACUUGGGGUUUCUGGGUCACAGGGCCCCUCACCGGGAGCUGGGGCAGGGCGGAGCAGCCCCUGGAGGGCAGCAAUUUCCUGGAAGCAGGACAGUAAUGGAGCCCAGAGAGUGCCCCCAGGGAGCAGUGGCUUCUAGCUGAGAG